UUGCUUACAACUCAGAAGGUAAAAGUAACCCAAGUGAAAUAGUAGAAUUCACUACAUGCCCUGAUAAACCAGGAGUACCUAUAAAGCCUUCAGUUAAAGGAAAGAUACAUUCACACAGUUUUAAAAUAACUUGGGACCCACCAAAAGACAAUGGAGGGGCAGCUAUCAAUAAAUACGUAGUGGAGAUGGCAGAAGGUUCUAAUGGAAACAAAUGGGAUAUGAUAUACAGUGGAGCUACUAGGGAACAUCUUUGUGAUCGACUGAAUCCAGGCUGUUUCUAUCGUUUAAGAGUUUACUGCAUCAGUGAUGGAGGACAGAGUGCGGUAAUACUUACACAGAGAUUUUUUUUUCAAGUUUGGUCAAAUGAGAUGAGAUCACCAGAUGCCACUUCAUAUAUUGAAAUGUAUUCACAAAUGUAUAAAAGUAGUAUCUGUAACCCAGGUGGUUAAUUUUAUAGUGACCAGAAUAUAGUGACCACUUAGCUCACAGCCUAUAAUCCAUGAAUACCUGUUUUCUACUUGGUAUUGAGCUUUGGAAAAAACAAGUAAAUGAAAACAUUGCAGAAAAUUGUAAAAGAUAAAUUUAAGGAUGAUGCUCAAUAACCAUACCAAAUAGAAAUAAAAUAAUUGUAGACUGAUUUACUGCUUCAUAAAUUAUGUAUAUUAGGACAAACUAUAAAAUAUCAUUU
This is a long non-coding RNA of Hipposideros armiger (great roundleaf bat), 688 nucleotides long. RefSeq lists it as uncharacterized. The record is from RefSeq and is a predicted model, not a curated record. The transcript is spliced from 3 exons. NCBI's taxonomy places the organism in Eukaryota, Metazoa, Chordata, Mammalia, Chiroptera, Hipposideridae.